AGUGAACGCUGGCGGUAGGCCUAACACAUGCAAGUCGAACGGCAGCACAGUAAGAGCUUGCUCUUACGGGUGGCGAGUGGCGGACGGGUGAGGAAUACAUCGGAAUCUACUUUUUCGUGGGGGAUAACGUAGGGAAACUUACGCUAAUACCGCAUACGACCUACGGGUGAAAGCAGGGGAUCUUCGGACCUUGCGCGAUUGAAUGAGCCUAUGUCGGAUUAGCUAGUUGGCGGGGUAAAGGCCCACCAAGGCGACGAUCCGUAGCUGGUCUGAGAGGAUGAUCAGCCACACUGGAACUGAGACACGGUCCAGACUCCUACGGGAGGCAGCAGUGGGGAAUAUUGGACAAUGGGCGCAAGCCUGAUCCAGCCAUACCGCGUGGGUGAAGAAGGCCUUCGGGUUGUAAAGCCCUUUUGUUGGGAAAGAAAAGCAGCAGGUUAAUACCCCGCUGUUCUGACGGUACCCAAAGAAUAAGCACCGGCUAACUUCGU
Molecule: ribosomal RNA, 491 nt
Filed under: uncultured bacterium
Lineage: Bacteria
Description: partial 16S ribosomal RNA
Rfam family: Bacterial small subunit ribosomal RNA
Source: RNAcentral